RNAcentral lists this long non-coding RNA (207 nucleotides) under Physcomitrium patens. Its description in RNAcentral is "long non-coding RNA (PPAT_LNC003690)". Lineage: Eukaryota; Viridiplantae; Streptophyta; Bryopsida; Funariales; Funariaceae. The record is from RNAcentral.
CUCAAAAGAGUAACAGUAUGUCUUAAUAAAUACCUUAACUUCAAACGACUAUAAUUUUUUCACCCUAACUCCAAAUCUUCUAAUUUUUGUACACAAAUUGUAUCCUAAAUCCUAAACUUUACAACCCUAGCUUGCAAUCUCUGCAUGCUUUCUUUGAAGUCAUCGAAACCCUUCUUAAGAUUGCAGGCAACCUCCUCAGAGUCCAUU